UAACGCCUGCGGUAUUCGUGAUCAUUAAAUGUUCCUGAACUGAUAUCGAAUAGAGGAUCGGGCCAUUGGUGGAGCACAAACCGGACACGAUCCGGAUCUGCAAAGCUAAUUUAAGGUAGAUACUCACCUUAAUUCUGGUUCGAGAACUUUUAUUCACACGGUACUGCGGGUUUUAU
Molecule: non-coding RNA, 176 nt
Filed under: Candidatus Cloacimonadota bacterium
Lineage: Bacteria; Pseudomonadati; Candidatus Cloacimonadota
Description: 6S RNA
Rfam family: 6S / SsrS RNA
About the family: E. coli 6S RNA was the first non coding RNA to be sequenced, but its function was unknown until recently.
Source: RNAcentral